Molecule: ribosomal RNA, 249 nt
Filed under: uncultured soil bacterium
Lineage: Bacteria
Description: partial 16S ribosomal RNA
Rfam family: Bacterial small subunit ribosomal RNA
Source: RNAcentral
AGGACGAACGCUGGCGGCGUGCUUAACACAUGCAAGUCAAGGGGGCCCAGCAAUGGGCAACCGGCGAACGGGUGCGUAACACGUGAGCAACCUACCGAACUGUGGGGGAUAGCCGGCCUAACGGCCGAGUAAUACCGCAUACGCUCUCAGAGAGGCAUUUCUUUGAGAGGAAACCUACGGGACAGAUCGAGGGGCUCGCGGCCUAUCAGCUAGUUGGCGAGUAACGGCUCACCAAGGCAACGACGGGUA